CUGCAUUACUGGAUCCUAGUUUUAAAAAGCUUGUAUUCAGUGACAACAGAGCUGUUGAUGGGGCACUUCAGAGAAUAACUGCCACAGCAGCAAAAUGCACCACCCAGCUCCAGCAUUAGAGGGCCAAGUGGGGGAGGAGCCACAAAUUCCUGCUGUGUGGAGGCUCUUUGAUGAAAGAGCUACAGGAGAUGCUACAAAGAGAAAUACUACAGCUGAUGUUAUAAUGGAGAUGCGAUCUUGAGUACUCCUUCAUCCAACGUGGAGAAGACCUGCUGAGCUGGUGGCAGGCCAAGGCCACAGUCUUUCCACACCUGGUGAAGGUGAUAGAGGGAUGACUGUGAAUAGUGGCAACAUCUGUUCCUCCGGAGAGAGUCUUCUCAAAAAAAGGGCAGAUACUAACUGUCAUGGUCUGGUAAUUCUCCGGACACCAUUCUCCAUCCUGCCAUAACUAACCUCUGUUCAGUUGCUGGUCUGUUCAGCAGCUUCACCGCUUUACUCACUUGCCUUCCUCCCUGCCCUGCUUCCUGGAAACACUUGAAUCUCUGCUCUGGACAAAUAUCACUCACGGCUCACCCAGACCACUUACCCUUCCACGCUUUGCCUCUGCCUGCGAAAAUGACUCCGAGAAUCCUGGCACCAUUCCCCUGUCUAGCCUCCCCCUUUAGUCCCACACCACAGGGUUCCUGUACUGGCUGUUACCCAGUAUUGGGUUCUCUAGCUCCUGCUCACGCCAGCCUAAGGGCUUGUUCUCUGGACUCUCUCAUAGCAUGCCGUGUGUUCACAGCUCAUAGUUCAUAGUUGUUUGUUUUUAUGAUAACAUUCAUGAUACUGUUCUAGUUAAUUGUACAUCAUAGUAUUGUUCUAGUUGGCUUUAUUGACUUUUAUUCAUAGUUCAUAUAACUCGCCAAGCUCCUGAGUGCAUAGUGUUGGGAAACAUUCUGUUGCACAUUUUCACUCCUUGUAAAUAAAGUCUUGCUC
Oreochromis aureus is the source of this 978-nucleotide long non-coding RNA. The record is from Ensembl. Lineage: Eukaryota; Metazoa; Chordata; Actinopteri; Cichliformes; Cichlidae.